RNAcentral lists this long non-coding RNA (4029 nucleotides) under Homo sapiens (human). Its description in RNAcentral is "HSALNT0398167". The record is from RNAcentral. Lineage: Eukaryota; Metazoa; Chordata; Mammalia; Primates; Hominidae.
GUUCUUUUAUAUAUUUCUGUAGAAGAAUAUUAUGUAUGUAUAACACAGACCAAGAAACAUACAGAAACACAAAAAGAUCUUAUAGCUUAUCACUGUAAAAUUGUAGUCAAGAAACUGUAAAAUAUACUAAUAUAAAAUCACAAGUGUAUAAAAAAAGACAGUUGGAUCCAAAUUAUAUUUCUGAAAAAAUGGGACAAGUUAAGAUCAGUUUUUCAUAUUGCUAAUCUUUUUUUUUUCUUUUGCCUUUGAUAGGUAAUCUUAUGAGGGAAGUGGACCAAAUUUUGGGUAUAUGUGCAUGAGAACCUUCUUUUCAUCACCUUCCCUGGCUCCAUUUGUCCUGCUACGGUGACACCAGUCUUUUAGUCCAUACAUUUGACUUCAUGAGGAGUUUGCUAUAAUCAAUUGAAUGAAGAAGAAACAUGUGGACCUGCUUUAUAGGUAAUUCUGCAUAAUGUUCUAGCAUCACCUAAAACCGGACAGCUGGCACACUACAGCCUCAGGCUGUGGUGGCCCCAAAGGAGAGUGGUAAAAGAAAAUAUUCCCAUUUGUUAGAAUUUUGAGUAGUGUACUUCAUAGUUUUUUUUUUUCCCAGAAGGAAUGAUGCCAGGGGGAUGAAUAGUUUUGCUGGAUGGUCAUGGACUUCAAAGAAGCAUGAUUGAUAAUUGGUUGACAAGGCAAAUUGACAAUGAGGUAUGUGAGUGGACUACUUUUAAUGAGCAGAAUAUAAAAUUACUUGCGGCCUAUUUAAUUGUCAAUAAUCAGCAACCUCACCAGAAGAUGAGCUUAAUAAUCAGGUGAUCAAGAUGGUACAUUCUGUGAAUAUUCUUCAAGAUUUUUCUCUAGUCAACCAUGUCCAUUCCCAGUGGGUGCAUGAACAGUGUAGUCAUGGUGGAAGAAAUGGAGCUUAUUAGUUCAGUACUAUGAAAUUCCAUUUACUAAAUCCAAUCUGGCUACAACCACAUUUAUAUGGCCAAGCUAUCAAAAGUAUGGACUAACACUGGACCUCAGAUAGGCACUGUUCUUCAAAGGGGACUACCAACCUCCUGCUGGAAUUUGAUUACACCGGACCACUUUGAUCAUGGAGGAGACAGCACUUUGUUUUCAGUGGAAAAGACAAUUACUCUAGAUAUGAAUUUGCCUUUCCUAUUCCAAUGUUUCUGAUAAAAGCAUCACAUGUGGACUUUACAAAAUGUUUUAUUUUCUGCCAUGGAAUUCCACCCAGCAUUUCUUGUGACCAGGGCAGUCAUUUUUCAAAAAAUGAAUUGUAUCCAUUGGGCUCAUGUUGAUAGAAUUCACUAAACUUACCAUGAUUCCUGUUAACAGUUCCAUUUCAGUAGUGGGACAUGCCUCAAUUCUCAGAAGUCCUACCAUCUCUGAUUUGUCUUCCCAUGUUUGUUUACCUAAUUCCUACUUUAAAAUGUCCUUGUCCCUAAAAUCCUAGUGAUUCUGCUUCUCUGAUUGAACCCUGACUGAUAUUGAACCAUUUCUGCUCCUUUUCAGACACUACCCCUCUCUCUCAACUAUAAUCACUUUCCUAACUUCUAUCACCAUUGACUACUUUUCCUUUUAUCUUUAUAUAUAUGAAACCAUAUUGUAUAUAUCCUUUUGUGUCUCUGUUUUGCCCAACAUUAUGUUUGUGAGAUUGAACUAUGCUGCUGUUUUAUAGCAAUUGUUUACUUAUUUUGUUACUGUAGAGCAAGUGUAGGCACACUACAUCCCAUGGGUGAAAUCUUGUAUAUAUUUCGGGGUGCACAUGUGUGUGUGUUUCUGCUUGCUAGAAGUGGAAUUUCUGUGUCAUGGAGAAUACAUAAAUUUAACUCUAGCAGAUACUGUGAAACAUUUUCCAAAGUGAUUGUACCAAUUUACACUCUUACAAGGACCGUGGUAGAGUUCCAUCUGCUCCACGUGCUUGCCAAUGUUUGGUGUUGUCAGACUUAAAUUAUUUUUAAAUUAUUUUUUAAAUUCACCAUUCUAAUUUUUUAAAAGAAGUAGAGUAUAAUGCUGGUUACCAGGGGCUGGAGUGGAGGGGUUGGGACAUAUUGGUCAAAAGAUAUAACAUGUCAGUUAUACACGAGUAAUUUUUAAAAAAUCAGUGAUUCUGGUAUGGCAAUAGAGUUGUCUCAUUGAGGGUUUAAUUUAUACUGCUGUAAUGACUAAUGAAGUUGAGCAAACAGAGCAUGUAUCUGAAGCCUUGUACAUUUGUAUAUUCUUCAUAUAGUGCUUACUCAAGUGAUUUGUUGAUUUGUCUAUUUGGUUGUCAGUCUUAUUCUUGUAUUUAUAGGAUUUCUUUAUAUUCUGCUUACAAGCCUUUUGACAUAUGUGUGUAUUGUGAUUAUCUUUUCAACUGUGGCCAGCAUUUUCACUUUCCUUAUGGUACAUUUGAUAAACAACCAUUCUCAUUUUAAGUUUUUUAAUUUUACUUUUCAGUUGGUACUUUAAAAAAUCGUUGCCAACAUUAGAGAAGGUCACAAAGAUAUUUUAGUAGCUAUUUAAAAAAAUCUUUUAAUUUUAAGAUCUAUAUUCCAUAUCAUAUUGAUAUUUACAUAUGGGAUGUGCUAAAGGUCAAGAUUAAUUAUUUUUCUAUGUGAAGAAUAUACAAUAUCCUCACUUCUUAAGAGAUUUCUCCAUUUUAUUAUCUUUGUCAAAUAUCAAAUGACUAGAUAUAUGUAAAUCUGUUUCUGAACUUUCUAUUAUCUUCCAUUAGUCUAUUCAUAUUUGCAUAUAUAGCACACUUUUAAUUACUGCAAAUACAUAAAAUGUCUUGAUGUCUUAUCGCAUAAACCCACCUCUUUCUAUUUUCUUUUGAUGUUUUGGUUAUUCUUGACUGUUGCUUUUGUUUACAGAUUUUAGACUCAGCUUGCCAGUUUUCACCAAAAAACUGCUGAGAAUUUUAUUAAAUAUAUAGAUUAUUCAAAGGAGCACUGAUAGCUUUACAACAUUGAAUUGUCCAGUAUCUGAAUAGCACCACAUAUUUUAAAUUUUCAUUGAAGUAUAAAUAUAUGUAGAAAAAUGUAUAUGUCAUAUGUGUCAUGAUUGUUUAAUUUUCAACACACUCAAAAUACCAGCAUCUGUAUCAAGAAACUGCACAUAACCAGCAUGUGGUAGCCAUGAAAAUGUAUUUCACAAAUAUUUUAAUGCAAGUAACCAAAGACCCCUAUUGUUGUGUUUUAAGGUCAAUCCUGUGUUUGCAUCAAGGCCAGAUUUUCUGAAGGCUGCUGCUCCCAGUCAAUAUCUGAGAGCAGUAAGGAUUCUAAGGUAGACCUGUUCAGGGAGACAUGGAUCUUCUCUGUUGGAUAGAUAAGAUUGUGAAUACCUGACUUUAAUGGCUUUUUCUUUAAUAUAACUUUUCUUUCUUUUUUUUGAAAUUUAGUCUCGCUCUGUUAUACAGGCUGGAGUGCAGUGGUGCGAUCUCGGCUCACUGCAACCUCCACCUCCAGGGUUCAAAGGAUUCUCCUGCCUCAGUCUCCCAAAUAGCUGGGAUUACAGACAUGCCACCACACCCAGCUAAUCUUUGUAUUUUUAGUAGAGACGGUGUUUCACCAUGUUGGCCAGGUGGGUCUUGAACUCCUGACCUCAGGUGAUCCGCCCGCCUUGGCUUCCCAAAGUGCUGGGUUACAGGUGUAAGCCACUGCACCUGGCCUAAUGUAACUUUUCUUAAGCUGUAUGGAAGUCUAGAAUGAUUUUAUCAAAUCUUCCUUUGUUGUUGUGUUGUUGUUGCUGUUGUUGUUGUUGAGACAGGGUCUCACUCUGUCACCCAGGCUGAAGUGCAGUGGCACAAUCUUGGCUCACUGCAACCUCUGCCUCCCCGGCUCAAGUGAUCCUCCAGCCUCUGCCUCCCAAGUAGCAGGGACUACAGGCACGUGCCACCACACCCAGUUAGUUUUUGUAUUUUUUUGUAGAGACAGAGUCUCACUUUGUUCCCUGGGCUGCCUUUUGUUCUUUACUCAGUGUUAGAUUUACAUCAUGGUGCAGCUUCUCUCCUGUUUUCUCUCACAAUCAUUUCCCCUAAUAAAAUUCUUACACAACUAA